CUUUGAAGCCCAGGUGGGUGACUUCACAACUGCAGACUGUCAUCCAUGGAUCCUCAUUGAGAAUUUAACUCAAAAGGUCUAGGUGGAAAAGAAAAUGCCAACGUGUCUUUUCUCACAAGCCUGAAAGAGGUCACCAAUGAGGAUCCUGCUGCUCUCCCUGCAGGAAGCCCCUCUGGAUCUACUCUGUGCAACCACUGUCUGUUUCUCAAGGAGUCGCUGAGAAAGUGCCUGAGAAGAUCAUGUACUCCAGAACAAGAGACCAAAGAAGCAUUGUACUGUCUACCUGACCCCAAUAAAAUUUUCAGCAUGC
Long non-coding RNA from Mesocricetus auratus (golden hamster), 310 nucleotides. RefSeq lists it as uncharacterized. The transcript is spliced from 4 exons. The record is from RefSeq and is a predicted model, not a curated record. Lineage: Eukaryota; Metazoa; Chordata; Mammalia; Rodentia; Cricetidae.